RNAcentral lists this ribosomal RNA (464 nucleotides) under bacterium T32102BY1. RNAcentral describes it as "SSU rRNA". It matches the Rfam family "Bacterial small subunit ribosomal RNA", at positions 953 to 1416 of the family's 1533-position model. The record is from RNAcentral.
GAAGCAACGCGAAGAACCUUACCAGGUCUUGACAUCCCACUGACCGUUAUGGAGACAUAGUUUUCCCUUCGGGGACAGUGGUGACAGGUGGUGCAUGGUUGUCGUCAGCUCGUGUCGUGAGAUGUUGGGUUAAGUCCCGCAACGAGCGCAACCCUUGAUCUUAGUUGCCAUCAUUUAGUUGGGCACUCUAAGGUGACUGCCGGUGACAAACCGGAGGAAGGUGGGGAUGACGUCAAAUCAUCAUGCCCCUUAUGACCUGGGCUACACACGUGCUACAAUGGACGGUACAAACGGUUGCCAACCCGCGAGGGGGAGCUAAUCCGAUAAAACCGUUCUCAGUUCGGAUUGUAGGCUGCAACUCGCCUACAUGAAGCCGGAAUCGUUAGUAAUCGCGGAUCAGCAUGCCGCGGUGAAUACGUUCCCGGGCCUUGUACACACCGCCCGUCACACCACGAGAGUUUGUA